Molecule: transfer RNA, 74 nt
Filed under: Celastrina hersilia
Lineage: Eukaryota; Metazoa; Arthropoda; Insecta; Lepidoptera; Lycaenidae
Description: tRNA-Glu
Source: RNAcentral
AUUUAUAUAGUUUAUUAAUUAAAAACAUUACAUUUUCACUGUAAAAAUAAAAUAUAUUAUAAUUUUUAUAAAUA